This 505-nucleotide ribosomal RNA is filed under the name uncultured bacterium. Its description in RNAcentral is "partial 16S ribosomal RNA". It matches the Rfam family "Bacterial small subunit ribosomal RNA", at positions 28 to 507 of the family's 1533-position model. The record is from RNAcentral.
GACGAACGCUGGCGGCGUGCCUAAUACAUGCAAGUAGAACGCACAGUUUAUACCGUAGCUUGCUACACCAUAGACUGUGAGUUGCGAACGGGUGAGUAACGCGUAGGUAACCUGCCUGGUAGCGGGGGAUAACUAUUGGAAACGAUAGCUAAUACCGCAUAAUAUUAAUUAUUGCAUGAUAAUUAAUUGAAAGGUGCAAUUGCACCACUACCAGAUGGACCUGCGUUGUAUUAGCUAGUAGGUGAGGUAACGGCUCACCUAGGCGACGAUACAUAGCCGACCUGAGAGGGUGAUCGGCCACACUGGGACUGAGACACGGCCCAGACUACUGCAGGAGGCAGCAGUAGGGAAUCUUCGGCAAUGGACGAAAGUCUGACCGAGCAACGCCGCGUGAGUGAAGAAGGUUUUCGGAUCGUAAAGCUCUGUUGUAAGAGAAGAACGGGUGUGAGAGUGGAAAGUUCACACUGUGACGUUAUCUUACCAGAAAGGGACGGCUAACUACGUG